Molecule: transfer RNA, 87 nt
Filed under: Aspergillus heteromorphus CBS 117.55
Lineage: Eukaryota; Fungi; Ascomycota; Eurotiomycetes; Eurotiales; Aspergillaceae
Rfam family: tRNA
About the family: Transfer RNA (tRNA) molecules are approximately 80 nucleotides in length. Their secondary structure includes four short double-helical elements and three loops (D, anti-codon, and T loops).
Source: Rfam by way of RNAcentral
GGCAAGGUGGCCGAGUGGUUAUGGCGUUGGUUUUAGGUUCUAAAUCACCAAUGAGAGAUCGCGCGGGUUCGAAUCCCGUCCUUGUCA